UAAGGUUCGAUUCGAGCGAAAGCGAGAAAGCGUUGCCAACGGCAACGACCCGAAGGGCGAAGCGCGCAGCGCUGAGUAAUCCUUCCCCCGUCAUCC
Molecule: small RNA, 96 nt
Filed under: Salmonella enterica subsp. enterica serovar Oranienburg
Lineage: Bacteria; Pseudomonadati; Pseudomonadota; Gammaproteobacteria; Enterobacterales; Enterobacteriaceae
Also listed under: 3 other names
Description: partial RtT sRNA
Rfam family: RtT RNA
About the family: This family represents a bacterial cis-regulatory element known as RtT RNA. The exact function of RtT is unknown although it is thought that it may be involved in changing the cellular response in relation to amino acid starvation.
Source: RNAcentral